UACGUAGGGGGCAAGCGUUGUCCGGAUUUAUUGGGCGUAAAGAGCGUGUAGGCGGCCACACAGGUCUGCUGUGAAAACUCGAGGCUCAACCUCGAGCUGUCGGUGGAAACCGUGUGGCUAGAGUCCGGAAGAGGAGAGUGGAAUUCCCGGUGUAGCGGUGAAAUGCGCAGAUAUCGGGAAGAACACCCGUGGCGAAGGCGGCUCUCUGGGACGGUACUGACGCUGAGACGCGAAAGCGGUGGGGAGCGAACAGG
This 254-nucleotide ribosomal RNA is filed under the name uncultured bacterium. RNAcentral's name for it is "partial 16S ribosomal RNA". It matches the Rfam family "Bacterial small subunit ribosomal RNA", at positions 524 to 776 of the family's 1533-position model. The record is from RNAcentral.